RNAcentral lists this long non-coding RNA (4218 nucleotides) under Olea europaea subsp. europaea. The record is from RNAcentral. Lineage: Eukaryota; Viridiplantae; Streptophyta; Magnoliopsida; Lamiales; Oleaceae.
CGACCAUAGUUUCCUGUAUAAGGAUUAUUUUAGCAGCAUAGUCAAGUCAUAUCAAUAGCCCUCAUUUUUUUUUCCCUCAUUUGGGGAUUGAUAUAUAGGUAAGUGGGUUUUUAGUUUGGGAUUUCCAUGUGAUGAUUUUCAUUAUUUUCUUGUUCCUUAAGAAAAAUUUAAUCUUGAAUAUGGUUCUUAUUUGGUGUUUUUUUAUGGUCAAGAUUCCCUUUUUUCCCCCCAUGUUACACUUCAUAGAUUUUGAAUUUUUAAGAAGAGGUAGACGUUGAUUUCGAGAAGACAGUGACGUUGGGCUUCCAAACUAUAUAGAUUAAUUAUGUUGUUUUCCUUAGGUGAGAUUAUUGCUAACCCCUCUAUUAUUGAGAGAUUUUGCCACUUCAGCUUAAAUAUCUUUGUUCGAUAGGUGUUGGCAAGAAUUUCUGGUUAUAAAUAUGUUGUUGGUGUAUUCUUUUUUCAAGUUUCCUCAAGGUUUUUGUUGAAUUAUGAGGUAAGGCUGAAUUUUGGUUGUGGUAUAAAUUCCUUGCCACGUUCAUGGGAUCCUUGAAGUAUGCUACAUGGGUUAUGUCAAUAUAGAUGACUAAUAUGAUUUAUGAGUUCAGAUAUAUGCCCUUUUGAAGUAAUGACUUGUUAUAACAUGGAAUAUAAGUGGACGGACUAGCAAAAAGAAAAUGACAAGGGAAGAAUAGUUUGUUUUCAUAUAAGAGAUUUGAUGCACAAUUUGAGAAUAAAAUAAUUGUCAAUACUUAUUUGGAAUGGUUUAAAAAUCAAAUAAGAUACUCCACCUGUAUGAAUACUGUUUUGGAUAGAAGCCUGUAGAGUUUGACAUUGCGGUUAGAGGUAAUGUUAUUUUUAUCUUUUGUUAGAAUUUCCCGAUUACCACUUUAUGGGUUCAAAAUUAGAAGGCUUUCCUUGAGUAAAAAUGAAGGUGUUUCAGUUGAUGGCAAUUCUGGAAGGAAUAAGGAGAAAUCAUUGUUGGACCUGCUUUGGUUAUUGAAGCUUGGCUUUUGGUUGCCAUUUUUGUAUGUGUAUUUAUUAUUUAUCACCUUCUCCAACAAAGCCAUAAUUCUUACUAUCAGUGCUUGAUUUUAUAUUGAUCUUUAUAUACAUAGAUUUUUUUAUUUUUGUUUGUGUAGAAAUUCAUUCGCCAAGAUAGUCAAUUCUUGAACUGGAAUGGUAGAUCGAUAAGUAGAAAUUCUGGGUAUCCAAAUUGAGAUUUUUGGUGAAAAUCUUGGUUCUUAUAGGAAUCAAAUUUUGAUUAUGUUUUUCUUGGUGGGUUUGUGGUUUAUGAUGAUCAAGAUUAUUGAGAUUUUUAUUGUAUUUUAUUUUAUUUUAUUUUAUUUUACAGGUUUUGGAUUUUCAAUUUUGGGAAGUUGAUAGUAGAUGUUGAAUUGGAUAGGUGGAACAUCUAAAUUAUAUGGAUAAUUUAUGAUGUUAUCAGGUUAGGAUUUGCUUUCUGUUAUUUUAACAUAAUUAAUGUAUAGAUUGUAUUAUUUCUGGAAUUUGACUAUUGAGACAUUUUUCAUAGUUUCUCAUCAAUUCUUUCAGGCUAAAAUUGUUGUUUAAAUGAUUAUUUAUGAUAUUAAAUAGUAAAACCCAUUAUUAAUUUAUGGUCUCUCAUUUGGUUCCUUCUGGUUUUCUGUUAUUUUACAUUAGUUGAUCUAAACUUAUGUCCAUAAAAUAAAUUAGCAACGUGGUGAUGAGAUACAUCUAACCACAUUUAGGGAAAGAAGGCUACCAUGCUUGAGAUAAUCUUUAAUAAAAAAGAUUUGAUAAGAAAUGGAACAUUUAAAGCUUUUGAAAUCCAUAAAUGAAGCAUAUGAAAGCAAUGGAAUUGCAGUGGGAGUUGAAGAAAGAAAAUUUAUAAUUGAAUCAUCAUAGGCAAAUAAAAAAUAAGAUUUUGAGCAUUCUUACUAUACUAACAAAUCCCAUGCACAAGAAAUAGAUUUAACACUAUGGUCAAGUAAUUAAGUAUGCACUAAGUUUAGAUUAAAAUAUUAGAAGUGUUCUGUUAGAAGAUGACUUUUGAAAUAAUUGUAAAUAUGAACAAAAAUUCAGUUGAAUAAAUGAGUCAUGAGAAAUAGUUUGAAGAUCAAUUUCAUUCUCGUGACAAGCAUAUGAUGCAUCAUAAGAAAUUUUUGAAAGGUAUGUUGACAACUGUAAAAUCAAGUUAUGAAAAUGUCCACCAUCUUCUAUAUAUCGAUCUGAUUGUCAAUUUAUCAAAAAAAUAUCAAAGAUCUAGAUAUGGCUUGUUUAUAUAGGGCCUCGAAAGGCGAAUUAUGAAACAACCUAAUUGACUAGGAGUACCUAAUUAGGAACUAACUUUACCAGUUUAUAUAAUCCGUCCCUUAUGUGAUUGCUUCUCAUUCCCUGUCAAGUUAUUUGAUAAAUAAGGACAUUUAAAUUAAGAUUGUUUAGAUAUCAUAUUACAAAAUAUUUUAGGGGGUUUAAUUGAAAUUUUUUAACAAAGACAUUUAUGGAAGUUCAAUUGAGAAACUAACUUUCUGGUCUUUGUAUGUCUAUAUAUCAUUCAGGGGAUUUAAUUAACAUACCAACUUUCUCACCCUUGUUAUUUAGUUUUUAUAAACUUCUUCAAUAAUAUCUUAAAUCCGUAAUGUUAUUUUUUUUCUUCUUUUUUAUGUUUUUAUUUUGAUUCUUUUUUUAUUCAACAUUAUAGAUUUCCAUCAGCUCCUGUAUUUCGGAUUCAGCAAUACUUCUUCAUCACUUUCCUAUUUUAGGUGGUCUGGAUUUUGUAAGUAUAUAUUAAAACAUAAAAUUUACUCGCCAAAUUGUUGUUGAACUAGGAAGCACUUAGAUUUAUGUGAUCCCUGGUAAUGAAUUUUAGUUAUGCGGUCUUACAAUUUCCUAUCUAUUUUUGGGAAAGCAAGUUUUCAGUAAGAUCAAGUUGGAAUAUCAUUCUUUUGCAAGUUUUGGUGUUAGAUUGUGAAUUUAGCUUGAAUUGUUUAAGUUAUUAUCAUUUGCAUUGAAAUGUUGUUUAUCUCUUUAAUUCUUGAGAAUUUCUAUUCGAAUUAUUUCGUUUCAUUUGCUGGGUCUUAUACUGUGGACUCUCUAUGUAUUCAAUCAUUCUAGCACUUUUGAGCGGUCAAGCAUAAAUCUAUAUACUGAGGAUUCUCUUUCUGAAUGCACAACUCCUUUUGUUAACCUAAGAUGGUGAAGUAAUUUUGAUAUAUUCCUCCACAUUCCAUUUUUGGGUGUUAAACGAGUACUCAUCUCUGUUACAAUAAAUUCAAGUAUCUUGAUGUUGCUGGCCAGAAGAAUUCCUAACUUUACAUCUUCAAUGGUGUGGCUUAGUUCUUUGGGUUGUUGGUAUGGUCUAUAUAUUUCAUUCAACUUCAAAACUUUGCAUUUUACUCUAAAAUGUUUAGUAUUCUGCUCGUUCAUAUACUCAACAUAUAUUGCAGGGAAAUGGAAACUCAAUUUAUUGAUCAGUUGACCAUGUGUGGAUGAGUUUCUAAAAUCUGAGAUUGUUAUACACCGCCACAAAAUCUGUCUAUUGUUAUUUUUUAGCAUCUCUAUGAUUAUUUGAAAUAUUAGAGUUUUAUAAAUGAAAGACAUUUGCCUCUUUAGUUCCUUGAGAAUAAAGGGCGUUGGGAGUAGCCAUGGAAUUUAAGGAUUUCACUAGGGAAAUAGUUUGUGUAUAUAACGUUUUCAUCAGUAUAAAGUUUUUGAUGGGCCAACCAGUGCGUCAGAUUAAGAUAUUGCAAUGAAUGAUGUCAGCAGAAGUCCAGCAAAGACCUUAACCAGUGCUAAAGGUCCAAGCUUCACUGAGGGGAUUUCUAAGUCAUCAUAUGCCAAGUAAGCAUCAGAUUUGAAAAGCUCUUCUGUAAAGGUGAAUUUUUUUUUUGCUCAUUGAUAGGGGGUCCAAAUAUGAAAAGAUUUGUAUUCUAUUUAGAUUUUUUCUUUGUUAUCCCCAUCUCUCUACGUGUUCCAUUUGGAUAGUUUCUGCCUAUAAAUUUAUUUAACUUGUCUUUUCGUUUGCAGCUAAACCUCUUUCAACAUAGGAAAUCGUUGUCUUACAUUGUAAUUUGGCAUGUGUUUUCAUCUAUAAGGUAGAGAUUGGCCAUUGACUAUUUUUACAAUUGUCUUUGGCUUUCAUGAAUUUUGUGGACAUUUGUAACGAAUUAUGUAACUAUCACGACAAACAAUUCAUUGUUGUAUGAAUUUUAUAUUCUCCUUAGUUCACAUGUAAAA